This 402-nucleotide ribosomal RNA is filed under the name uncultured bacterium. Its description in RNAcentral is "bacterial SSU rRNA". It matches the Rfam family "Bacterial small subunit ribosomal RNA", at positions 355 to 774 of the family's 1533-position model. The record is from RNAcentral.
UGGGGAAUAUUGGACAAUGGGCGCAAGCCUGAUCCAGCCAUGCCGCGUGAGUGAUGAAGGCCCUAGGGUUGUAAAGCUCUUUCACCGGUGAAGAUAAUGACGGUAACCGGAGAAGAAGCCCCGGCUAACUUCGUGCCAGCAGCCGCGGUAAUACGAAGGGGGCUAGCGUUGUUCGGAAUUACUGGGCGUAAAGCGCACGUAGGCGGAUCGAUCAGUUAGGGGUGAAAUCCCGGGGCUCAACCCCGGAACUGCCUCUAAUACUGUCGAUCUGGAGUUCGAGAGAGGUGAGUGGAAUUCCGAGUGUAGAGGUGAAAUUCGUAGAUAUUCGGAGUAACACCAGUGGCGAAGGCGGCUCACUGGCUCGAUACUGACGCUGAGGUGCGAAAGCGUGGGGAGCAAACA